This 248-nucleotide long non-coding RNA is filed under the name Rosa chinensis. RNAcentral describes it as "sRNA RchiOBHm_Chr7g0232881". Lineage: Eukaryota; Viridiplantae; Streptophyta; Magnoliopsida; Rosales; Rosaceae. The record is from RNAcentral.
GCGACGCAAAAAGCCCCAUUCCAAGUUAGAGCUCUCGACCCGUUUACCCGACCUGACGAACUGCGUAGUGAUCGACCAGAACCUCUCCAUUCGGCGACGAUAGGGCGGUGCACCGGUACCGUUCGGUUCUUCUUGACGACGCCGACGUGCCUCUUGUCACGGAUCGUCCAUGCAGGGAACGAGGAGAGAAAAUCGAGGCUCGAAAGUUUCUAACUUUCUGGCGGUUCCGCAGCAUUUUCCGGCGAUCG